Molecule: ribosomal RNA, 494 nt
Filed under: Chrysolina polita
Lineage: Eukaryota; Metazoa; Arthropoda; Insecta; Coleoptera; Chrysomelidae
Description: partial 16S large subunit ribosomal RNA
Rfam family: Bacterial large subunit ribosomal RNA (bases 370-494)
Source: RNAcentral
UAAUUUAAGGUCUAACCUGCCCACUGAAGUUUUAAAUGGCCGUGGUAUUUUGACCGUGCUAAGGUAGCAUAAUCAUUAGUUUUUUAAUUAAGAACUGGAAUGAAAGGUUGGAUAAAAAAAUAACUGUCUCUGUUAAAUUUAAUUAAAAUUUUAUUUUUAAGUAAAAAAGCUUAAGUUUAUUUAAAAGACGAGAAGACCCUAUAGAGUUUUAUUAUUUAAUAAAAAUUAUAUUUUAGUAUUUAUUUAUUUAUUUUAUUUAAUAAUUUAAUUGGGGUGAUUGAAAAAUUUAAUAAACUUUUUUUAUUUAAUAACAUUAAUUAAUGAUAAAAUGAUCCAAUAUUUUUGAUUAUAAGAUAAAAUUACCUUAGGGAUAACAGCGUAAUUUUUUUAUAAAGUUCAUAUUAAAAGAAAAGAUUGCGACCUCGAUGUUGGAUUAAAAUAAAUUUUUGGUGUAGAAGCUAAAAUAUUAGGUCUGUUCGACCUUUAAAAUUUUA